RNAcentral lists this ribosomal RNA (344 nucleotides) under uncultured bacterium. RNAcentral's name for it is "bacterial SSU rRNA". It matches the Rfam family "Bacterial small subunit ribosomal RNA", at positions 8 to 334 of the family's 1533-position model. The record is from RNAcentral.
AGGGUUUGAUUAUGGCUCAGGAUGAACGCUGGCGGCGUGCUUAACACAUGCAAGUCGAGCGAAGCACUUUUGCGGAUUUCUUCGGAUUGAAGCAACUGUGACUGAGCGGCGGACGGGUGAGUAACGCGUGGGUAACCUGCCUCAUACAGGGGGAUAACAGUUGGAAACGGCUGCUAAUACCGCAUAAGCGCACAGUACCGCAUGGUACGGUGUGAAAAACUCCGGUGGUAUGAGAUGGACCCGCGUCUGAUUAGGUAGUUGGUGGGGUAACGGCCUACCAAGCCGACGAUCAGUAGCCGACCUGAGAGGGUGACCGGCCACAUUGGGACUGAGACACGGCCCAA